Pogoniulus pusillus (Red-fronted tinkerbird) is the source of this 346-nucleotide long non-coding RNA. RefSeq lists it as uncharacterized. NCBI's taxonomy places the organism in Eukaryota, Metazoa, Chordata, Aves, Piciformes, Lybiidae. The record is from RefSeq and is a predicted model, not a curated record. The transcript has 3 exons.
UCCGGGCAAUUAAAGCUGGCACGCUGGAGAAGCUUGUGGAAAACCUUUUGACAUCUUUUGGAGACCACGAUUUUGCCUACACAGACAUCUUCCUCUCAACAUACAAGGCAUUUACAUCCACUAAGAGCUAGUCCUGGAGCUUCUCCUUGACCGAAAGGAGAACCUGGAGACCCCAACCUUCGAGGAGACAGAGAGCAAGAACUGCUCCGAGCACAAAGCUCUGCCUAGAACGGCUGUAGCAUCAGUGUUAAGUGCCUGGCUCAGUCAGUGCUCCGAGGACUUCCGAGAGCCUCCCAACUACCCUUCUCUCCUGAAGGUUCUGGACUACCUGAACAGGAACCUGCCU